RNAcentral lists this small nuclear RNA (19 nucleotides) under Arabidopsis thaliana (thale cress). RNAcentral describes it as "snRNA_05291". The record is from RNAcentral. Lineage: Eukaryota; Viridiplantae; Streptophyta; Magnoliopsida; Brassicales; Brassicaceae.
CAAUGUAGGCAAGGGAAGU